UGACCGCGUAGCUCAGUUGGAAGAGCAUUGGGCUAGUAUUCCAAAGGUCGUAGGUUCGAAUCCCACCAUUCAA
Molecule: transfer RNA, 73 nt
Filed under: Paramuricea clavata
Lineage: Eukaryota; Metazoa; Cnidaria; Anthozoa; Malacalcyonacea; Plexauridae
Description: tRNA-Thr
Rfam family: tRNA (bases 8-67)
About the family: Transfer RNA (tRNA) molecules are approximately 80 nucleotides in length.
Source: RNAcentral